AGCUCUCGCUAUUAGAUGAGCCUAAGUCGGAUUAGCUGGUUGGUGGGGUAAAGGCCUACCAAGGCGACGAUCUGUAGCUGGUCUGAGAGGAUGAUCAGCCACACUGGGACUGAGACACGGCCCAGACUCCUACGGGAGGCAGCAGUGGGGAAUAUUGGACAAUGGGCGAAAGCCUGAUCCAGCCAUGCCGCGUGUGUGAAGAAGGCCUUUUGGUUGUAAAGCACUUUAAGUGGGGAGGAAAAGCUUAUGGUUAAUACCCAUAAGCCCUGACGUUACCCACAGAAUAAGCACCGGCUAACUCUGUGCCAGCAGCCGCGGUAAUACAGAGGGUGCAAGCGUUAAUCGGAAUUACUGGGCGUAAAGCGCGCGUAGGUGGUUAUUUAAGUCAGAUGUGAAAGCCCCGGGCUUAACCUGGGAACUGCAUCUGAUACUGGAUAACUAGAGUAGGUGAGAGGGGAGUAGAAUUCCAGGUGUAGCGGCGAAAUGCGUAGAGAUCUGGAGGAAUACCGAUGGCGAAGGCAGCUCCCUGGCAUCAUACUGACACUGAGGUGCG
RNAcentral lists this ribosomal RNA (553 nucleotides) under Moraxella catarrhalis. Its description in RNAcentral is "bacterial SSU rRNA". It matches the Rfam family "Bacterial small subunit ribosomal RNA", at positions 210 to 755 of the family's 1533-position model. The record is from RNAcentral. Lineage: Bacteria; Pseudomonadati; Pseudomonadota; Gammaproteobacteria; Moraxellales; Moraxellaceae.